ACGGUGAGUAACACGUAUCCAACCUGCCGUCUACUCUUGGCCAGCCUUCUGAAAGGAAGAUUAAUCCAGGAUGGCAUCAUGAGUUCACAUGUCCGCAUGAUUAAAGGUAUUUUCCGGUAGACGAUGGGGAUGCGUUCCAUUAGAUAGUAGGCGGGGUAGCGGCCCACCUAGUCAACGAUGGAUAGGGGUUCUGAGAGGAAGGUCCCCCACAUUGGAACUGAGACACGGUCCAA
Molecule: ribosomal RNA, 233 nt
Filed under: uncultured bacterium
Lineage: Bacteria
Description: partial 16S ribosomal RNA
Rfam family: Bacterial small subunit ribosomal RNA
Source: RNAcentral